RNAcentral lists this transfer RNA (75 nucleotides) under Dreissena polymorpha. It matches the Rfam family "tRNA". Rfam says of the family: Transfer RNA (tRNA) molecules are approximately 80 nucleotides in length. Their secondary structure includes four short double-helical elements and three loops (D, anti-codon, and T loops). Further hydrogen bonds mediate the characteristic L-shaped molecular structure. tRNAs have two regions of fundamental functional importance: the anti-codon, which is responsible for specific mRNA codon recognition, and the 3' end, to which the tRNAs corresponding amino acid is attached (by aminoacyl-tRNA synthetases). tRNAs cope with the degeneracy of the genetic code in two manners: having more than one tRNA (with a specific anti-codon) for a particular amino acid; and 'wobble' base-pairing, i.e. permitting non-standard base-pairing at the 3rd anti-codon position. The record is from Rfam by way of RNAcentral. Lineage: Eukaryota; Metazoa; Mollusca; Bivalvia; Myida; Dreissenidae.
GGGGAUGUAGCUCAGUGGUAUAGAGAGCGCUCGCUUUGCAUGUGAUCGGAUCCGGGUCCAUCCCCGGCAUCUCCA